AUUGAACGCUGGCGGCAUGCCUUACACAUGCAAGACGAACGGCAGCACGGGUGCUUGCCCCUGGUGGCGAGUGGCGAACGGGUGAGUAAUACAUCGGAACAUGUCCUGUAGUGGGGGAUAGCCCGGCGAAAGCCGGAUUAAUACCGCAUACGAUCUACGGAUGAAAGCGGGGGACCUUCGGGCCUCGCGCUAUAGGGUUGGCCGAUGGCUGAUUAGCUAGUUGGUGGGGUAAAGGCCUACCAAGGCGACGAUCAGUAGAUGGUCUGAGAGGACGACCAGCCACACUGGGACUGAGACACGGCCCAGACUCCUACGGGAGGCAGCAGUGGGGAAUUUUGGACAAUGGGCGAAAGCCUGAUCCAGCAAUGCCGCGUGUGUGAAGAAGGCCUUCGGGUUGUAAAGCACUUUUGUCCGGAAAGAAAUCCUUGGCUCUAAUACAGUCGGGGGAUGACGGUACCGGAAGAAUAAGCACCGGCUAACUACGUG
This 486-nucleotide ribosomal RNA is filed under the name uncultured bacterium. Its description in RNAcentral is "partial 16S ribosomal RNA". It matches the Rfam family "Bacterial small subunit ribosomal RNA", at positions 30 to 507 of the family's 1533-position model. The record is from RNAcentral.